Molecule: ribosomal RNA, 1017 nt
Filed under: uncultured bacterium
Lineage: Bacteria
Description: bacterial SSU rRNA
Rfam family: Bacterial small subunit ribosomal RNA
Source: RNAcentral
AGGAAUAUUGGUCAAUGGACGCAAGUCUGAACCAGCCAUGCCGCGUGCAGGAUGACGGCUCUAUGAGUUGUAAACUGCUUUUGUACGAGGGUAAACGCAGAUACGUGUAUCUGUCUGAAAGUAUCGUACGAAUAAGGAUCGGCUAACUCCGUGCCAGCAGCCGCGGUAAUACGGAGGAUUCAAGCGUUAUCCGGAUUUAUUGGGUUUAAAGGGUGCGUAGGCGGUUUGAUAAGUUAGAGGUGAAAUUUCGGGGCUCAACCCUGAACGUGCCUCUAAUACUGUUGAGCUAGAGAGUAGUUGCGGUAGGCGGAAUGUAUGGUGUAGCGGUGAAAUGCUUAGAGAUCAUACAGAACACCGAUUGCGAAGGCAGCUUACCAAACUAUAUCUGACGUUGAGGCACGAAAGCGUGGGGAGCAAACAGGAUUAGAUACCCUGGUAGUCCACGCAGUAAACGAUGAUAACUCGUUGUCGGCGAUACACAGUCGGUGACUAAGCGAAAGCGAUAAGUUAUCCACCUGGGGAGUACGUUCGCAAGAAUGAAACUCAAAGGAAUUGACGGGGGCCCGCACAAGCGGAGGAACAUGUGGUUUAAUUCGAUGAUACGCGAGGAACCUUACCCGGGCUUGAAAGUUAGCGACGAUUCUUGAAAGAGGAUUUCCCUUCGGGGCGCGAAACUAGGUGCUGCAUGGUUGUCGUCAGCUCGUGCCGUGAGGUGUCGGGUUAAGUCCCAUAACGAGCGCAACCCCUACCGUUAGUUGCCAUCAGGUGAAGCUGGGCACUCUGGCGGGACUGCCGGUGUAAGCCGAGAGGAAGGUGGGGAUGACGUCAAAUCAGCACGGCCCUUACGUCCGGGGCUACACACGUGUUACAAUGGUAGGUACAGAGGGCAGCUACCCAGCGAUGGGAUGCGAAUCUCGAAAGCCUAUCUCAGUUCGGAUUGGAGGCUGAAACCCGCCUCCAUGAAGUGGGAUUCGCUAGUAAUCGCGCAUCAGCCAGGGCGCGGUGAAUACGUUCCCG